Molecule: ribosomal RNA, 402 nt
Filed under: Verrucomicrobiota bacterium
Lineage: Bacteria; Pseudomonadati; Verrucomicrobiota
Description: Verrucomicrobia bacterium partial 16S ribosomal RNA
Rfam family: Bacterial small subunit ribosomal RNA
Source: RNAcentral
UGGGGAAUUUUGCACAAUGGGGGAAACCCUGAUGCAGCGACGCCGCGUGAUUUAGAAGGCCUUCGGGUUGUAAAAAUCUUUUCUAUGGGAAGAAAAUGACAGUACCAUAGGAAUAAGGACCGGCUAAUUACGUGCCAGCAGCCGCGGUAAUACGUAAGGUCCGAGCGUUAUCCGGAUUUACUGGGCGUAAAGGGUGCGUAGGUGGUCCUUCAAGUCGGUGGUUAAAGGCUACGGCUCAACCGUAGUAAGCCGCCGAAACUGGAGGACUUGAGUGCAGGAGAGGAAAGUGGAAUUCCCAGUGUAGCGGUGAAAUGCGUAGAUAUUGGGAGGAACACCAGUAGCGAAGGCGGCUUUCUGGACUGCAACUGACACUGAGGCACGAAAGCGUGGGUAGCAAACAGG